GACGAACGCUGGCGGCGCGCUUAACACAUGCAAGUCGAACGGAAAGGCCUGCUUUCCCUUGUGGAUUGCGGGUACUCGAGUGGCGAACGGGUGAGUAACACGUGAGUGAUCUGCCCCCAACUUGGGUAUAAGCCUGGGAAACUGGGUCUAAUUCCCGAUAGGACUGCAGGGUGGUUCCUGUGGUGGAAAACGAUUUUCUAGUGGUUGGGGAUGAGCUCGCGGCCUAUCAGCUUGUUGGUGGGGUAAUGGCCUACCAAGGCGGCGACGGGUAGCCGGCCUGAGAGGGUGGACGGCCACAUUGGGACUGAGAUACGGCCCCGACGCCUACGGGAGGCAGCAGUGGGGAAUAUUGCACAAUGGGCGGAAGCCUGAUGCAGCGACGCCGCGUGGGGGAUGACGGCCUUCGGGUUGUAAACUCCUUUCGACCGCGAGGAAGCCACCUGGUUGGAAGGGUGGUGACGGUAGUGGUAGAAGAAGCACCGGCUAACUACGUG
Molecule: ribosomal RNA, 494 nt
Filed under: uncultured bacterium
Lineage: Bacteria
Description: partial 16S ribosomal RNA
Rfam family: Bacterial small subunit ribosomal RNA
Source: RNAcentral